GACGAACGCUGGCGGCGUGCUUAACACAUGCAAGUCGAACGGUGAAGCGCUUUCCUUUUUGGUUGGUGUGGAUGAGUGGCGAACGGGUGAGUAACACGUGAGUAACCUGCCCCCUUCUUCUGGAUAACCGCAUGAAAGUGUGGCUAAUACGGGAUAUUCUGCGCCUGCUGCAUGGUGGGUGUGGGAAAGAUUGUGCCUUUGGGUGUUUUCGGUGGGGGAUGGGCUCGCGGCCUAUCAGCUUGUUGGUGGGGUGAUGGCCUACCAAGGCGGUGACGGGUAGCCGGCCUGAGAGGGUGGACGGUCACACUGGGACUGAGACACGGCCCAGACUCCUACGGGAGGCAGCAGUGGGGAAGAGUGCACAAUGGGCGCAAGCCUGAUGCAGCGACGCCGCGUGAGGGAGGGAGGCCUUCGGGUUGUGAACCUCUUUCGCCAGUGAAGCAGGCCUGCUCCUUGUGGGUGGGUUGACGGUAGCUGGAUAAGAAGCGCCGGCUAACUACGUG
This 503-nucleotide ribosomal RNA is filed under the name uncultured bacterium. RNAcentral's name for it is "partial 16S ribosomal RNA". It matches the Rfam family "Bacterial small subunit ribosomal RNA", at positions 28 to 507 of the family's 1533-position model. The record is from RNAcentral.